GUGACGAGUUUGAUCAUGGCUCAGAUUGAACGCUGGCGGCAGGCUUAACACAUGCAAGUCGAGCGGAGACUUCGGUCUUAGCGGCGAACGGGUGAGUAACACCUAGGAAUCUGCCUAUUAGUGGGGGAUAACGUGUGGAAACGCACGCUAAUACCGCAUACGUCCUACGGGAGAAAGCAGGGGAUCUUCGGACCUUGCGCUAAUAGAUGAGCCUAGGCCGGAUUAGCUAGUUGGUGGGGUAAAGGCCUACCAAGGCGACGAUCUGUAGCUGGUCUGAGAGGAUGGCCAGCCACACUGGAACUGAGACACGGUCCAGACUCCUACGGGAGGCAGCAGGUGGGGAAUAUUGGACAAUGGGGGCAACCCUGAUCCAGCCAUGCCGCGUGUGUGAAGAAGGCCUUCGGGUUGUAAAGCGCUUUAAGCGAGGAGGAAAGUUUUAGGUUAAUACCCUAAAGAAUUGACGUUACUCGCAGAAUAAGCACCGGCUAACUCUGUG
RNAcentral lists this ribosomal RNA (496 nucleotides) under uncultured bacterium. RNAcentral's name for it is "bacterial SSU rRNA". It matches the Rfam family "Bacterial small subunit ribosomal RNA", at positions 1 to 507 of the family's 1533-position model. The record is from RNAcentral.